Molecule: transfer RNA, 71 nt
Filed under: Dermacentor andersoni
Lineage: Eukaryota; Metazoa; Arthropoda; Arachnida; Ixodida; Ixodidae
Description: transfer RNA glycine (anticodon GCC)
Rfam family: tRNA
About the family: Transfer RNA (tRNA) molecules are approximately 80 nucleotides in length. Their secondary structure includes four short double-helical elements and three loops (D, anti-codon, and T loops).
Source: RNAcentral
GCGUCGGUGGUUCAGUGGUAGAAUACUCGCCUGCCACGCGGGUGGCCUGGGUUCGAUUCCCGGCUGACGCA